UUCUGUGAUGAAGCUGCUAUGUAGGAAGUGCCGUCUGAUGCGAUAACUGACGAUGGCGAAGCAAAAUCAGCCUGAGA
Sinocyclocheilus grahami is the source of this 77-nucleotide small nucleolar RNA. NCBI's taxonomy places the organism in Eukaryota, Metazoa, Chordata, Actinopteri, Cypriniformes, Cyprinidae. The record is from Ensembl.